CAGAAGCAGGCGAGUUUGCUUAGGUAUCGAUUUUACGAUCGUGUCUCUGGCGGUUAGUGUGUCCGUUUCCUUAGUUUUUAGUGGCCGUGCUCGUCGUUGUUACAUGAAGAAUAAAAUCGUGAAUGGAAUUAUUAACUAUAAAUUGUUGUAAAUUAACUCUCCGUUGACUUGUCGCGUAACUCGUCAUUAAAUCAUGACUAAGGAUAGAUUAGCAGCCCUCGUAGCGGCUCAGUCGGAUGACGAUGAAGCGCCCGACGAGGUGUCCGUUAACGUGGGCGGGCAAGAAGAUUUCAUGACAGAAUUUUUUGCGGAAGUGGAGGAGAUCCGCGAAAUGAUUGACAAUAUCCAGACGAAUGUCGAGGAAGUGAAGAAGAAGCACAGCGCCAUCCUGUCGGCGCCCCAGACCGACGAGAAAGUCAAAAUGGAACUGGAGGAUCUCAUGGCUGACAUAAAGAAAACUGCAAACAAAGUUCGGGCAAAAUUAAAGGUGAUAGAACAGAAUAUCGAGCAGGAAGAGCAUACGAACAAAUCUUCCGCCGAUUUAAGGAUACGCAAAACUCAACAUUCGACAUUAUCAAGGAAGUUUGUCGAAGUUAUGACAGAGUACAAUCGGACGCAAACCGAUUACAGAGAACGAUGUAAGGGAAGAAUACAACGACAGCUUGAAAUCACGGGGAGAACUACCACUAAUGAAGAGCUCGAGGAAAUGCUUGAACAGGGAAAUCCUGCAGUAUUCACGCAAGGGAUUAUAAUGGAAACGCAACAAGCCAAACAGACCCUUGCUGAUAUUGAAGCACGUCAUGCUGACAUUAUAAAACUCGAAAAUUCAAUCAGGGAACUUCACGAUAUGUUUAUGGACAUGGCAAUGUUAGUCGAGAGUCAGGGCGAGAUGAUAGAUCGCAUAGAAUAUCACGUGGAGCACGCGGUCGACUAUGUCCAGACGGCCACGCAGGACACCAAAAAAGCACUCAAGUAUCAAAGCAAAGCCCGACGGAAAAUGAUCCUGAUAAUAGUCUGCCUGACAGUGGCGGUCAUCAUUUUAAUUGUUAUUUUGGUUGUCAAUUUGACAUAAAUUAUUAAUAUAUCACAGAAACAGUUAAACGAUCACCAACACACAAAUUUUUCAUCAUUCCUGCGCCUAAAGUUUUAAUUCUCGCCCUAUUUAGAAGGAAGAAAGUCCUUAUUUUUUUCUAUACGAAAGCAAAUGAUUAAAAUUAGCGCAUGCGCUAUUCUUCCCAGAGGGAAAAAUUUAAAGUUUCAGGUGUAGAUCUGGUGAAAAAUAUUAUGCAGACCGGAAGAAAGUAGGACGUCCCUAUGUGCGUAUUUGCCGCCUUUGGCUCGGGUAGACAUUUACACACACGGGUCAGAAUGUCCAACUUUCCUUCCUUGGUAUGUAAUAUGCUAUUAAAUUUAAAAAUUCAUUUUUACCUCGGUAGUUUUAUGGAGCUAAAAAGUUUUAGUUACGAAAAUUAAGAUGGAAUGACGUAAUAUUUAAGUUGAUUAUGAAUUCAUACCGCAAAGUUAUCGUCUGUAUAAUUAAGUAUUUAAGUUUUAACGUUUCUUGUAAUAUUAAUUUUAGUCUAUUUAUAUUUCAAAAUUAACUACAAGACGUUGGUACUUGAGGCUGCGGUAUAUUUUCUGUACAGUAUAACUUUAUAUUUUAUUUAAUACCUCAAACUCUAUUCAAGUCUUUCUUCUCGAGUUUAACUUGUCAUAACUGAUCGUCAUGACAAGGAAACACGCGAGGGAUCAUCAUAAUCCAUAAAAAUCUACUAUUGUAUUUUCCAUCACGAAAUCUUUCAUUUCUUCUUUUAAUUUCCAUUUUUUUCUUCUUUAAAAAAAAAACAAUUUACGCUCUUACGUCUUUAUUUUCGUUAAAACUUUUUUUAAAAAUUAAAAGGUAAAAAAUAAAAUAUAGUGAAUCUGAAAAAUAAAUAUAGUAAAUGUUAUACGUAAGAUACAUUUAUAUAUUUAUUUAUUAAAAAUUAUUUCUUCUAUAAAUUUAUUUAAAAUUGUAAAUAAAUUUAAUAAAUAUUUAAGUUUGAGGAAAAGAAAGAGAUUUUUAAAAAUCUAUAUUGUAUUGUAUAGGUACUUAUAUUAAUAAAAGUAUGAUUGUGUGAAUGAUAUUUACAUGAAUAAAAUAAAGCGAUAGAAAAAAAAAAAAAAAUGACAAAUUUAAUUGAGAUAAUCCUCAAUAUGUUCACAGCUAUCGCGCAAUACUCUAUAAUAAUAAAAUAGAAGUAAAUUCAGCAUAAAAAAGUAGGACUUAGAACACAAUAGCAAAGUAUUUGCGAAAAAAAAAUUGAUGCGCUUGGAAAAAUAACCAUCAAUGUUAAUUUAUUAUUUAUAAUUAAAAUUAUAAUGGCAAUUAAAAUGUACAGAAAUAUUAAUCAAUUUAAAAAUAGUAAUUGAAGAAAAACUUUAUGUACUAAAUUAAAUGAUCUAAUUGUUAAUAAUAAAUAAAUUAAGAGAAUGAAUGAUAGGAAAAAUGAAAUAUGAUAAAGUAUAGAAACAAUAAACGAUAAAUGAGAAAAAUGUAACCCAAGAACGACAAGAUAUUGUACAUAUUUUCAUUGUGUAAUGGGUCGAGGAUUUAUCUGAAAGAAGAUCAUGAUUAUGAUCUGCCUUGCUAUUCUUGCCGUCAUUGUUGCCACUACUAUUGGUGGAUACUUCGGACUGUGAACACCUAAAUUAGGAAAGUUCACUAACAACGAGAUUAAACGAAGAGUAACAAACGUCUGGUUAAUAAAGUGCGCUAUGUUCGUUGUCAAUACGUUGUAUCACACAUUCAAUAAUAAUAAUAAUAAUAAUAAUAAUAAUAAUAAAUCGUCUGGCACGUCGAUAAAUAACAAUUCACUGCUACAAUUUAAAUCAUACAGCAAGGUGAUCAUUACACCUCAUUAUCAUUAUAAUAUUCAUAACAAUAAUAAUAAUAAUAGUAAUAAUAAUAAUAAUAAUAAUAAUAAUAAUAAUAAUAAUAAUAAUAAUAAUAAUAAUAAUAAUAAUAAUAAUAAUAAUAAUAACAUUAUUCAUUUAAUCAUUAUCACAAUCACAAUCAGUAGAUCAUAAAAAUUAUAGAAACCAUUGCACCCUCAUUAAAUAUAAAAAUCGCUGCCCGUUACUUAAUUUAAUUUAACAGAAUUAAUUAAAAAAUAAACCCGUGAAAAAAAAAUAAUUUUUAUCUAUAGAAAUUAAAAUCCUUCAUAUUACUAAUAAAAAACUUGCAUAUAUAUUAUUUUAUAAAAUUAUAUAACUAAAAAUUGAUAAUUUUUAUUUAAAAAUAAAUUUCUAGAUUUCAUUUGAUCUUUUAAUACUAAUGCAGAUUUAAAAUUUCUAAAGUUUGAUAAAAAUUAUUUUUUUUUUCCGGAAUACCUCCCCUGUCUUACUCGAUGUCGUCUCAAAACCGGGUCUGAUUAAACAAAUAUAUAUUGAAUUUAACAACCAAUACUAUCUGCGUAAUCAAUAAAACAGAACAGUCAGAGCCAAUUAAAAUAAAUUAAUAGAUUAAUAUCGUUUUUAAGUGGAAGCUUAACAAUUAACGACGAUAACGAGUGACGGCAGAGUUCAAUAAACAUAAUUAGAGUAUUAUUAUUAUUAUGGAAAAAUGGUCCACCAAAAAAAAUAACAAUAACAAUAAAAAUAACCGUUUAGCUAUCGGUACUUUAUAAGUUAAUUGAAACAAAUGGAAAAAACUAGAUAAAUAAAGUCACUGAAAAUAAUAGAAAAUGGACGAUUAAUAUUAAAAGUAAUAGAAAAGAAUUUAAUUAUAAUUAUGAGGCAGAAUCACGUAUCGUAAAUAAUUAUAUAUAAAUAAAUAAAUGGAUAAAAUAUUUAAAAAAAAUAAUUGUCGAUUACAUGAACGUAAAGUUAAAUAGCAAAUGGAUUAAUGCAUUUUGCUGCAGCAAUAAUAAAUAUAAUAGGUGUUAUAUUGGAAGUAUUUAAAAGGUUAAUAAUCUCUUUAAUGAGUAAUAAUUAUCUUAUUACCCACUUAUUACGAUAAUUAUUUUGUUUUUAAAUAAAUAAUAAAUUUAUCAAUUUAUACACUUACAGUUACAUGUAACCCAUGUAUUUGACGGUGUAAUUAUUAAUAUUUAUUAUUAUUAUUGUAUUAAAUUAUAUAUGUAUAGUUAGGCAUCGCGAUAAUUAAUUCAUAAUGAGAGGUUCAAUUAUUAUUAUUAUUGUUAUUAUUAAGGAUAUUCUCAGACAGUGCCCUCCACUUUUUAAAUAUAUUCAAUGACAUUCAUUGUCAUGACCGUGUUCAAAUUUUGUUAAUUAGUUUAAGAAAAAGUUGAAGCAUUAAUUGGAAAAAGGACAACGCAGUUGCGAUUUCGCCACGAUAUGGAUUCGAAAAAAAAUUUAUCCGAAAAAUUUGACUUUAAUUAUAAUGUUUGACCCGAAGAUCCUGUGUAAAAAAAUUCGUUUUAAAAAGAUUCCAAAAAAGUUCGAUAUUUGGAACAUCUAAACUCGAGACAGAUUUGAAUUUCGAGUGGAACUUUUUUUGAACUUUUGUAAUUUUUAUAGUAAAAAAAAAGUUUAUGUAGAAUUAUAAGCAAAUUUCGAGUCAAAAAAAUAAUGUUUUUAUUUCAUUUUACCCUUGUUCCGAAAAAAGUUUCUAUUAGAAACCAAUAGAGUUUCAUAUACGAAUCAAAAAAAGUUCAAGAUUUGAGGUUUUUUAACUUUUUCGUAACCAGGAUAAGUGUAGUAAAAUUACGUUUUGAGAAAAAUCUUGAGAGUAUUCUUUUUUGACUCAAAUUUUGCUUAUAUAAAAUCCUAGAUAACUUUUUUUUUUACUAUCAAAAUUACAUAAGUUCAAAAAAAGUCACUCGGAGUUCCAAUGUGUCUCAAGUUCAAAAUUUCCACACGUCGAACUUUUUGAAACGAAUUUUCAUUCCUUGGAAUUUCACUGAAUUUUAUCAAACAAAUUUCGUUUGACUACCAAUUGAUAAGAACCGGAAGUAAUUUUUUUUGAAAUUUACAUCUCGGUAAACUUGUAACUUCAUUGUCCUUUUUUCAAUUAACGCUUUAACUUUUUUUUAAACUGAUUAAUGAAAUAUUAAUACGGCCAUGACAGUGAAAGUCAUUGAAUAUUUUUACAAAGUAGGAGGUAUUGUUCGAGAUUGUCCUUAAUAAUGAUAAUAAUUGGCAGCCUAUUUAAUUGGUAAUGAUAGCCAAUGACAAGUGAAAUGCAAUGUUGAUAAAAAAAUAA
RNA transcript from Microplitis mediator, 5206 nucleotides. It is a transcript of the gene named syntaxin-1A, with no coding region annotated. The transcript is spliced from 11 exons. NCBI's taxonomy places the organism in Eukaryota, Metazoa, Arthropoda, Insecta, Hymenoptera, Braconidae. The record is from RefSeq and is a predicted model, not a curated record.